Artibeus jamaicensis (Jamaican fruit-eating bat) is the source of this 1565-nucleotide long non-coding RNA. RefSeq lists it as uncharacterized. The transcript is spliced from 2 exons. The record is from RefSeq and is a predicted model, not a curated record. Lineage: Eukaryota; Metazoa; Chordata; Mammalia; Chiroptera; Phyllostomidae.
CCUCAGCGCCAGGCCCCGAGGGGCGAAGCCUGCGGCAAAGACUCCAGCACCUUCCUCCUCCUGUCGCCAAGCCUGCGCCACUGCUUGGGAUGCCCUGCCCAUUCCUGAGCAGCCCGACUGUGCUUCAUCCUGGCUUCCUCAUGCAACUUCCCCUCAAGGCCAAUUUCCUCACUCAUACUUGCAAAGGAAAUUUCCAGAACCAGACCUGGAGCUCAGGUACUCACUGGGACUCCAAGCAAAGAGCUUGCCCCCUCAGAUGAGGCUGCUGACGUGCAAAUGGGAAUGGCGGUCACUUGGGGACGGGACUCACUACAGGGUAAAGGGGAGCCCCUGCCCUGCUUCUCUGCCCCACUCCCCCACUUUGCUGACAGGAGGAAAGGCAGGUAAGUUUGAGGUCAAGGCCUUCUUAGUUCAGAGCUAGGCAGCUGUGACUUAAAGCCCCCCCAGCACCCCCCCACCCAGAGUGUGGCUGCUUCUUCCUCCCUCCCCAAGGCCAGAAAGGGCCUGAGAACCCAGGGGCCUCCGCCCUCACUCACUUCCUCCCCAGAGACUAGGGGGUUGGGGGGACGGGACAGUAGCUCAGUGACAGGUAGGUGACAAGGACCAAAAUAGAGACAGAGAAGUGCAGCAUCUUUAAUACAGGUUGUCUUUGCCCACAGACCAGAGGGCAGGAGGCAGGAUCUGAACCCACUCCCAUCCUUCUGAUGAAAAGUAAACAAAACAAACCCCCCCCCAUCUUUCUUGUCAACCUAACUCAACUCUCAGAGACAACACCUCCCCCCAGUAAAAUCACGGACAGAAGAGGAACCUGGCCCAUGACUGAGAAAAUAACUUUAUUUUGUUUGGGGGCGCAGGCAGAUCUCCAGUCUCAGAACUUCUGGAACUGCUUCUUGGUGCCGGCGGCCUUGGUGACUUUGAGCACGUUGAAGCGCACGGUCUUGCUCAGGGGCCGGCACUCACCCACUGUGACGAUGUCGCCGAUCUGGACGUCUCUGUGGACAGGGGCAGCGUCAGUGGUGCGCGGGAGGAGAGGGGCACUGGAGGCCACCCCAAGCAGCCCCCAGGGGAGAGUCUCCUUCAUGGUCACCAGGCUGAGGCCCCCACCAAGCUCCCGGGUCCAGUUCCGGCUGCACCCUUGUCAGGGAGUGCAAGCUCUGGCCAAGGCACCGGGCUCGGCAUGGGACAGCAAAUGCUCUGACCCUUCCCGGGACCUCUUGGGGCAGAUCUCUAACCGCCACCUCCGGUUUAGAGAACUGGAGGCUCCUGAGGAUGGUGGCUUGCUCGUACCAGCCUCCCCACCCCCUCAGUUGCCCAGGGGGUCCCUGUUAAUACCCACAUCAGGUCCCAAGUCACUCAGACUUGAGUGCGGCCUGCCCCCUCCACUGUGACUGAAAGGGUGGCCAGCCCGGGCUGCCUGGGACCCACUGUGCUCACCUGAAGCAGGGAGACAAGUGCACUGACAUGUUCUUGUGGCGCUUCUCGAAACGGUUGUACUUUCGGAUAUAGUGGAGGUAGUCUCGGCGAAUGACUAUGGUCCUCUGCAUCUUCAUCUUGGUCACCACACC